This 443-nucleotide ribosomal RNA is filed under the name uncultured bacterium. Its description in RNAcentral is "partial 16S ribosomal RNA". It matches the Rfam family "Bacterial small subunit ribosomal RNA", at positions 338 to 795 of the family's 1533-position model. The record is from RNAcentral.
CCUACGAGUGGCAGCAGUGGGGAAUCUUGGGCAAUGGAGGAAACUCUGAUCCAGCAACGCCGCGUGAAUGAUUAAGGUCUUCGGAUUGUAAAGUUCUUUUCUAAGGGAAGCAGAAAGUGACGGUACCUUCAGAAUAAGCCGCGGCUAACUACGUGCCAGCAGCUGCGGUAAUACGUAGGAGGCGACCGUUAUCAGGCAUGACUGGGAGUAAAGGUGGCCGAGGUGGUUUGGCAAGUUGGUGGCGUAACUCCAAGGCUCAACCUUGGAACUACUACGAAUACUGUUGGACUUGAGUGCAGGAGGGGGAACCGGAAUUCCUGGUGUAGCGGUGGAAUGCGUAGAUAUUAGGAGGAACACUAGUGGCGAAGGCGGGUUGCUAGACUGUAACUGACACUGAGGCACGAAAGCGUGGGGAGCGAACAGGAUUAGAUACCCUUGUAGUC